GUCCCGUACACCAAAAUGCACAGGUUGUGAACUCGAAGAGUAGGGCGGGACACGUGGUAUCCUGUCUGAAUAUGGGGGGACCAUCCUCCAAGGCUAAAUACUCCUGACUGACCGAUAGUGAACCAGUACCGUGAGGGAAAGGCGAAAAGAACCCCGGCGAGGGGAGUGAAAAAGAACCUGAAACCGUGUACGUACAAGCAGUGGGAGCACCUUCGGGUGUGACUGCGUACCUUUUGUAUAAUGGGUCAGCGACUUAUAUUCUGUAGCAAGGUUAACCGUAUAGGGGAGCCGCAGGGAAACCGAGUCUUAACUGGGCGUUAAGUUGCAGGGUAUAGACCCGAAACCCGGUGAUCUAGCCAUGGGCAGGUUGAAGGUUGGGUAACACUAACUGGAGGACCGAACCGACUAAUGUUGAAAAAUUAGCGGAUGACUUGUGGCUGGGGGUGAAAGGCCAAUCAAACCGGGAGAUAGCUGGUUCUCCCCGAAAGCUAUUUAGGUAGCGCCUCGUGAAUUCAUCUUCGGGGGUAGAGCACUGUUUCGGCUAGGGGGUCAUCCCGACUUACCAACCCGAUGCAAACUACGAAUACCGAAGAAUGUUAUCACGGGAGACACACGGCGGGUGCUAACGUCCGUCGUGAAGAGGGAAACAACCCAGACCGCCAGCUAAGGUCCCAAAGUCAUGGUUAAGUGGGAAACGAUGUGGGAAGGCACAGACAGCCAGGAUGUUGGCUUAGAAGCAGCCAUCAUUUAAAGAAAGCGUAAUAGCUCACUGGUCGAGUCGGCCUGCGCGGAAGAUGUAACGGGGCUAAACCAUGCACCGAAGCUGCGGCAGCGACACUAUGUGUUGUUGGGUAGGGGAGCGUUCUGUAAGCCUGCGAAG
This 880-nucleotide ribosomal RNA is filed under the name Klebsiella pneumoniae. Its description in RNAcentral is "partial 23S ribosomal RNA". It matches the Rfam family "Bacterial large subunit ribosomal RNA", at positions 370 to 1255 of the family's 2925-position model. The record is from RNAcentral. Lineage: Bacteria; Pseudomonadati; Pseudomonadota; Gammaproteobacteria; Enterobacterales; Enterobacteriaceae.